GCGCCGCAUACCUCGCUCACCGCUCACCGCUCACCGGGGUCCCCCUCGCUCGCCGGGGUCACAGGAGCCUCGGCAGGUGCAGCCGCCGCCGACGCCCGCCAGUUGCUGGCCGCUAUCCGCCGACGCCGGCCUCCGCGCGCAAUCCGCCACCCGCCCCGCAGCCGCAGCCGCAGCAGCAAACCGGGGACUGUGGGGCGGCGCGUGACACGCGGCGGAGGACGCGACCGGUGGCCAGCGGCUGCGACCCCGUCGGUCGGCAGCUUCGGCUCCGAUGCGAGGCUGCGGCACUGAUGCGCAACACGCGAAACGGGGCCAGCUGCAGGUGCGGCCCCGACGCACGGCGGCCGCUGACCGCAGCUCCGGCCCGCUAGCUGCGGUCUUGAUGCGCAGCGCGCGCCCACGCGCCGUCCGGCGCAGCUACGGUACCCGCCGAGCCGCCGCACCUCCUGCCGGGCCACCGCGCUCCUCCUCGGCGCGAGUAGCGAGUCCACACUGGCCGCCCGCGCCGCAGUUUGCGGAGGAGGAGACGCAGCGUCGAGCUGCCCGCCGUGCAGCCGCGCCGAACCGCCACGCCUCACGCCGGGCCACCGCGCGCCGCCAGCAGGCUCCACGGCGCGAGCGGCGAGGCCACGCCGCCCAUCUCCUUCCCUCCAUCAUGGCAGUGCCACGCUUAUGGACGAAGGAGCAGGGAGCAGCGGCCAUACCUGGUUCAUGGGAGUGACGGGCUGCUCCAUGCCCCCUUGAUCCCCUUCUUCACAGCCUUGACUAAGAUUUAUCCGUUCUGAUUCUACUUGUAGUUCACAUCAUGCCAUAAUUUCUGCCUACAUGGUGCUCGACAGAAUGCUCCAGUGGCGACAUGAUGUUUGGAGCUCUGUGGCAUAUUUGCUCACUGCUGCCACUUCGUCAACAAUUUUAUACAUUCCAGUUCUUUCUCUCUCUUGCCCCUAACUAUGCAUUGGUGUUGUUAGUUGUUUUCUCUUUUGGUUCAGUCUCUCUAAUUUGUGUCGAGGCCACAACGGCUCAAAUGACUUCAGGGAUAGAAUUCUAUAGUCUCUGCAACUGAAUUUAGUGUCUUAGCUACUCACCUUAUAUCCAUACAUCUGCAACAAAGGAAAAAAGGAACAUUGUUGUUCUUUCAUAUUACCAAUAGAGUCAAUUGUCUUCCUUGCGACCCAGCAUCGAGGGAUUGUGGAUGAAAGGUUCUCGAUAAUAUUAUUAUUAUUCUCCUCUUAUGCUGGUCAAGACAAUGUUAGGUACACCAACAUACUUUCUUUCAACCAUUUACAGAUUAAUUGAAUUGUUAUAUCCAAAUUUGCUUGAUACAGGUAUGCAACUAUGGUUUAUUUCAUGAUUACAAUAUUGAAUUAGUGCAAAAGUGUUAGCCAUAGUAGUUUUGUGACUACAAAGACAUGCCUUCAUUUUUUCUACCUACUUUCUAUUAUUUCAGAUUUCAAUGAAUGAGUGUCAUACAAGGAGUCUUAUGCCAGAAGCAAGUAAACCUACUAAAUGAGAAAAGGGUUCCAAGCUAAUUUCGUUGUCUGUCACUUGAGGCUGGAGAGAGCAAUUCUUUACUUGCACUCAAAAUUUUCGAUAAGCUUCAUGCUGAAACUCCAACUGAAUAACCAUUGCUUUUUACUGUUUUGCACAUCCUUUUUGUUUCUUAGUCAUUUCUGGUUGCAUAUUCCAUAUAUAUCUUUCAUGAACUAGACUCCAGCUAUUUUGGUUCCAAGUUAUAGUUUGGGAGCGAACAUUUUCAUUACCUUUAACUUGAAAAUAUUUCUAGCUGCAUAUUCCAAAUAUAUCUUUCAUGGUGAAGGGUUAUCAGCCAAUUGAAUUGCAACCGCUCCACACAAUGCAUUUUUAUAGUAUGAAGGGAUUGUGUAUUGUAUCGAUAUAUUUUCCAGUUUUUUGCUGGGUCAUAAAUAAGUGCUUUGAUGCCAUUGACAGUAGCAGUUACUUAAAGCUUUUGCUAAAUUUAAUAUAUAGCAAUGUUGAUUUACUUAUAGCCUACCCCAACUUGCUUGGGAAAAAAGGCUAUGUUGUUGUUGUUGUUGUUGUUGUUGUUGUUGAUUUAUUCGAAAUUUUGUCUGGCCAUUUGGUCUCAUCAUAUCUGUGUGCAAGAUGCAGGAAUUUCAGUUCGGAAUUCAAGUUAACACCAUAAGCUAAAUUGAGACUUUGCAUAGUCAUAAAAAAUUAAGGUUUAUCAAGGUCGGUCGAAUCAGGCUAAAUAUGUGUGUCGCGUCCUUUGAAGGCUACAUAUUUGUGUCGAUCUGCUUUUAGUAGAUUUGUACAUGCUUCUGCUAGCUCCAUUGGCUAAAUAUAAGAUACUGAUCACAGCCUCACAGGUGCUGCAGCAUCUGAUCAUUUAUGUCAUCAAUUAGGUUUUAGUUCUCCAUCAGUAGACCGAACAGCAAGGACAUAGUCAGACACAAAAGGCAUGAACACACAACAUAACAAGCAAGGUCACACACGCCAAUGCAAGAACAUCUAGAGGCAAUAGUGAACUGCCAGCUUCCAUUAUUGGCGACAGUUCACCUGAGUAGCUCCUCAUGCAGCUUAGAACUGAUGAGGAUUAUUGAUGUCGUCGCCGCUCGGUGGCGCCAGCUGGUAGCCGAGGUUGAGCUCGGUGGUGAGUAUCUGGCGGUGUGCCUCCAGCAUCUGCAAGCCUCCUGGAAAGAAGCACUUCAUGUCCAGCCCCGCGAAGGGGCCGGCGGGGAAGAAGCACUUGGUGUCCAUCUCCAAGAAUGGGUUCAGCUCCGCACUGGCGGCGGCCAUGGCGGCAGACCGGGCCACGGUCACCUGCUGCAGCUGCUGCUCUCCCUCCUCAAUCUGAUCAGACAGAGAUGAUGGACACACAGAGUGAUCGGCAUAAGUGAAAAGCAUGAUUUCAAGAUUAAUAAUGUAUACAGAUUUUUUAUUUACUUUUCAAGGCUAGUUAGCUAUAUUAUAUAUGCAAGAAAAGUUUGUUUCUGAUUUCUGACAGUUAAGCAUACCUUGGUCCUGAGGUUCAUGUGGUCAUUCUGGAGCUCAGUCUCCUGCAGUUUCAGCAAGAUUUGAUGUAAAGGAAUGAAUCCAAACAGGAUUAGCUAAAAUGAAUGAAGUAACAAGGGUAUAUAGCUGACAUGUAUGUAUUACCCUUUUGACCAUGUAA
Molecule: long non-coding RNA, 3151 nt
Organism: Panicum virgatum (switchgrass)
Lineage: Eukaryota; Viridiplantae; Streptophyta; Magnoliopsida; Poales; Poaceae
Exons: 3
Source: RefSeq, a predicted model, not a curated record